RNAcentral lists this ribosomal RNA (326 nucleotides) under uncultured eukaryote. RNAcentral describes it as "partial 18S ribosomal RNA". It matches the Rfam family "Eukaryotic small subunit ribosomal RNA", at positions 1470 to 1796 of the family's 1831-position model. The record is from RNAcentral.
CCCUUAGAUGUUCUGGGCUGCACGCGCGCUACACUGAUGCACUCAACGAGUUUACGACCUUGCCCGAUAUGGUUGGGUAAUCUUUUUAAAAUGCAUCGUGAUGGGGAUAGAUUAUUGCAAUUAUUAAUCUUCAACGAGGAAUUCCUAGUAAGCGCGAGUCAUCAGCUCGUGCUGAUUACGUCCCUGCCCUUUGUACACACCGCCCGUCGCUCCUACCGAUUGAGUGCUCAGGUGAAUAAUUCGGACUGCAGCAAUGUUUGGAUCCCGAACGUUGCAGCGGAAAGUUUAGUGAACCUUAUCACUUAGAGGAAGGAGAAGUCGUAACA